GCCGCUCUGCACCAUCCGUUCGCCAUCUGCAUUAGUGCGAGUGCUACAUCCAUACAAAAUACACGAGCGCGUGGAACAAUACCUGCGCAAGCUCGCACUAGCAUCGUAGAUCAGACGUAACUAUUCAAUUGCCGGUAACUAAGCAGGUA
Long non-coding RNA from Maniola jurtina (meadow brown), 149 nucleotides. RefSeq lists it as uncharacterized. Lineage: Eukaryota; Metazoa; Arthropoda; Insecta; Lepidoptera; Nymphalidae. The transcript is spliced from 3 exons. The record is from RefSeq and is a predicted model, not a curated record.